UAAGACGAAGGGGGCUAGCGUUGUUCGGAAUUACUGGGCGUAAAGCGCGUGUAGGCGGUUGCCCAAGUCGGGUGUGAAAGCCUUGAGCUCAACUCAAGAAAUGCACUCGGUACUGGGUGACUAGAGGACCGGAGAGGAUAGUGGAAUUCCCAGUGUAGUGGUGAAAUACGUAGAGAUUGGGAAGAACACCAGUGGCGAAGGCGGCUAUCUGGACGGUUUCUGACGCUAAGACGCGAAAGCGUGGGGAGCAAACAGGA
Molecule: ribosomal RNA, 257 nt
Filed under: uncultured prokaryote
Description: partial 16S ribosomal RNA
Rfam family: Bacterial small subunit ribosomal RNA
Source: RNAcentral